GCCAGGUGUGGUGGUGUACACCUGUAAUCCCAACUGCUUGGGAGGCUAAGGCAGGAGGAUUGCAAGUUCAAGGCCAAUCUGGGCAACUUCAGGCACACGGAAUUACCAGAAUGCUUGCCUAGCAUGUGCAAGCCCCUGGGUUUA
Molecule: small RNA, 144 nt
Filed under: Marmota monax (woodchuck)
Lineage: Eukaryota; Metazoa; Chordata; Mammalia; Rodentia; Sciuridae
Source: RNAcentral